Molecule: long non-coding RNA, 2279 nt
Organism: Talpa occidentalis (Iberian mole)
Lineage: Eukaryota; Metazoa; Chordata; Mammalia; Eulipotyphla; Talpidae
Exons: 5
Source: RefSeq, a predicted model, not a curated record
ACAAAGCCCUGUGUAGGGGUGAGGCUUCCGCACGAGCUCGGGACUCCCUGAACGAACACCCUCUCCCCUUGCUGAGGGAGACGUCAGAGGCAGACAUCUCUGGAAUUACUCCCUUCAACCGUCAGAUGCUGGGGAGUCAGAUGGCUCACCUCCCCCCUCCCACCUCAAGAGAUGCUUCCAGAACACUCCUGCCUCAAACUUCUCAGUUGCCUGGGAAGGGGGCCUUGUCACCACAUUUGGCUGGCAUGGUGACAUCGCAGUCUGAGUCAGAGAAACACCCAGCAGGAAAGGUCAAGGCUCCAGAAUUAACUCGAGGAAAAAGUGCGAUAGGCAAAGACCAAUGUAGGGUUUUCAUUGUGGUGUUCCAGGGAGGGAACUCAGCCUGAUAAUGUAGAGAGAUGAGUUCUCUGCAGACAGGAGGGCUGGAUACUCCCAUUGUAAGAUGUGUGUUAAGGCUUUGCUAAAUCUCAGGCACUACCUGGGGGGAAGGAGCGUACACAGACUGUUUCCUUUAUCCUCAGGACACCUGGAUAAGGCAGUUAUUAUUAUGAGGACCCGUUUCACAGAAGAACAAGUAAGGUUUGGGGACAUAAAGUCACUUGUUCAAGGUCAUCCAACUACUUGAGUGCUGACUUAGGAUCUAGGCAAUUUGCAGAGUCUCUGCCAAGCCCCUUGGAAAUCAGAGAUGGGAAUUCACCCAUGGACAGAGCUGUAUCCUGAGCCCAGGCCCCUGGCUCUCCAGACAGAUUCUUUGGAUGGAAGCUCACCCAGCUGUACCUGCAAACAGAUGUCUCCUCGUUUGUUUAACCUGGCCGGAAACCAAGUUGCAGUUUUUCUUCCUUCUUAUGUCUGAAGAGUCUGGGAGAAGCAGAGACCGUGCAGCCCAAGGGAGCCGUCCAGCUCUGCACUUCAUGGGCAGGGCUUCAGGACUCAGAGCUCUGGGCUGGGGUUAGGAGUCAGGCUUGCUAAGCAGCCAUGAAGGGAAGAAAGAAAAACAGAGGGGUAAAUGACUUGCCCAAGGCCACAGAGUUAUCAAGUGAUGAAGGUGAGAUCCAAAUCCAGAUAGGCUGACGCCAAGCCUGAAACACACUCUGACAUCCUCCUGCUCCACACAGAUAUUUACAGGCAUCACCUGAGGACCAAGAAGUACACAGAGACACCCAACCAGCUCUGAGAAGCAGUCACCGGCCGCAGUCCCAGCACCCUGCCUCUGUGUUUUGGCACCAGCUCAAGAUUCUCCAGCAGGCUCUGAAUCGUAGAUCAUGAAGAAGCUGCCAGAAGGUCCCACGUACAGUUGGAAACAGACCCAGACCUACAGGGCUGUGAAUGUGGCUCCCACACGUUCAUGGGUGGGCCAGAGAAGCUUGGUGAUGAGACAGGAGUGAUGCCCAGGGAGACUGCUGGCUGCUUCCCAGAGACCUCACAAGGUGGCAUUUACCUUGGCAAGUUCCCCAGGCUCUGGCCCCCAGUCUUGGUGGUCCGGAAACCUGAUUUUGCUGGCAUACCCAGAAAGGAUCCAUCUGUUAGGAGAACACUCCCAUUAACCCAGAUCACGAGACCAAAAUAUAAGCACUUUGAGAAAUGUAACUGCCAUGGAAAAGAGGAUUGCUGCUGAAAUGGUCGUGACCAGCACUGCCUCAUCCCUGGGGAGGCAGGUUGGGAUAAGAAAGUUUCCUGAUGAAUUUAGAAUCAUCUGGAGGCUGGUUGAACCACUUGAAUGUUUAGUGGCAUCAAGCUCUGACCAUCUGCUGCAUUUUUUUCCCUGGAAGGGAGGUAGCUGACACCAGGAUCAAACAGGCCACAUCCCUGGGCAGGGCAAUACUUCCCUGGACAGGUAUAGUGUUUACCCUGCUAGUUGAUCUCUGCUUCUGAAGCUGCUGCUCUCUGUGCCCAAGAUGACCAAACAGCAGCUGGACAUAAACACCUUGCGCAGACAUGACUCCAGCCAAUAUGGGUGCCCAUCAACAAAUUGCCGUCUACUGGCUGUGGCAUUUCAACGUGUUCUCUCCAUUGUGUGCAUCCAAGAGUACAGAGUUGUUGCUGGCCCAACCAGAGAGCUCAUUUUCAACCUCUAUCCACUCCCACUGCCCCUGCAUCUGAAUGGGUUAUGGACCAAAUUCUCCCCAAUGAAAUUUGAGCAUGAGGAAUGUUCAUAGUGGUUAGGAACCAGUGUCCCAUUUUCAACUAGAUGAAAAAGAGACUCUGAGGUUUGGGAAGUGACAAGAUGGAAGGAGGCUAGGUGCCUGAGUGACCACAUGAAAAAAAAAAACAAAACUGGU